This 445-nucleotide ribosomal RNA is filed under the name Salmonella enterica subsp. enterica serovar Enteritidis. RNAcentral describes it as "partial 23S ribosomal RNA". It matches the Rfam family "Bacterial large subunit ribosomal RNA", at positions 121 to 607 of the family's 2925-position model. The record is from RNAcentral. Lineage: Bacteria; Pseudomonadati; Pseudomonadota; Gammaproteobacteria; Enterobacterales; Enterobacteriaceae.
GGGAAACCCAGUGUGACUCGUCACACUAUCAUUAACUGAAUCCAUAGGUUAAUGAGGCGAACCGGGGGAACUGAAACAUCUAAGUACCCCGAGGAAAAGAAAUCAACCGAGAUUCCCCCAGUAGCGGCGAGCGAACGGGGAGGAGCCCAGAGCCUGAAUCAGCAUGUGUGUUAGUGGAAGCGUCUGGAAAGGCGCGCGAUACAGGGUGACAGCCCCGUACACAAAAGCGCAUGUGCUGUGAGCUCGAUGAGUAGGGCGGGACACGUGGUAUCCUGUCUGAAUAUGGGGGGACCAUCCUCCAAGGCUAAAUACUCCUGACUGACCGAUAGUGAACCAGUACCGUGAGGGAAAGGCGAAAAGAACCCCGGCGAGGGGAGUGAAAAAGAACCUGAAACCGUGUACGUACAAGCAGUGGGAGCACCCUUUGGGUGUGACUGCGUACCUU